AUCAAUAACUAUUGUGCGACUCUGACUGUCAAGCAAGACACGAUGUGGUGUUUUUAUACAUUUUAUGUAUUCUCUCAUCAAGGCUCAAUGUGUCCUUUCAUUGUAGAAUCGAGCUCAUUUUGGUGUAAACCAGUCCUCUGAAAGAGGAAACGCCUUCAUGGACAUGAAUUUAAGCAGAAGUUCCUCACCAGGAGGCCAGAAAAUACAGUAAGAUGACCCAUUGUCACUGAAUAAUGACUGAUUGAAGUGAAAACGCUUGCAAUACAAGGAAGUCAACCCUUUUCAACGUGCUUACAAAGAGUCAAGCUGCAACUGAGAAUUUCCCCUUCUGCACCAUUGACCCAAAUGAAAGCCGAGUGCCCAUUCCAGAUGAACGCUAUGAUUUCCUGUGCCAAUUCCACAAGCCUGUCAGCAAGGUGACCGGCCUUCCUGAACGUGGUGGACAUAGCAGGACUGGUGAAGGGAGCUCACGCUGGCCAGGGCCUGGGCAAUGCCUUCCUGUCCCACAUCAGUGCCGGCGAUGGCAUCUUCCACACGACACGUGAGUCCCACCUGCCAGGGUAUAGCGCACUGCAUAUCACUGUCUAAAACGGCAGGCUUUUCAUCUGUUUAGAAAUGUGUCCCAAUGUACAUGCACCGCCCAGAAUGAGCUAGUAAAGAGAACAAUUACUGGAAAAUGUGCUUCAUACUUUGCUGUAGAAUCUUGUUGAAAGCAGUUGGCAGAGCUUUUUACUGAGGCCUAUAUGGUUCUGUCUGCUGGGUUCCAAGACAAACACAAUAUUCAGGAAUAGAGCAGAUGAAGCCAGACCCAAAACUCACAUUCCUAUUGGGAGUUUCUCUCUGAAUUGGAAUCAGAGAAAAGUUAAUGAAAGGGCCUGUGCCUGGUUUGGUAGACUCACUGCACACUACUCUGAGGUUGGGAAAUACAACUAGACUCAGGGGGAAGUCUUUAGCGGCUUCCUGUAACCACAGAUUAUUGUAACCUGAUCCCCAAAUGACACCGUUUGAUUAUGGUUGGGCACAACAAACGUAAGUAGCCUGCAUGGCAAAAAUACAGUACGAUUAAAGAGAAACUGAACCUAAUAAGCAACUUCUACUUUUGUGGCGUCGAUAUGAGUCAGAAACAUUUUUAUUCUAGUGUCAAAAUUGACUACAAAGUGUAAAUAGGAUCAUUUUGGUCAUAAAGUUAGUCUGGUCCAAAAUGAAGAUUUGCGAGAUAAUUAGGAAAAAAUAGUAUGUCAUGGAAUGAAAUGUACCGUAACAGUUUUCCUCGGGUUAGAUUUAUUUCAAUCCAGCCCACAACUGGCAGCACCCAAGUAAUCAUCCAUUGAGACCGCAGCUGCAUGCAUCCAGAUCUUAAUGCCCAUGGUCAAUUUGGUUUGACAUUCGAUAUCCCUAUGGGGCUAGUUAGGCACC
Oncorhynchus masou masou (cherry salmon) is the source of this 1416-nucleotide long non-coding RNA. RefSeq lists it as uncharacterized. The record is from RefSeq and is a predicted model, not a curated record. Lineage: Eukaryota; Metazoa; Chordata; Actinopteri; Salmoniformes; Salmonidae. The transcript has 4 exons.